RNAcentral lists this ribosomal RNA (404 nucleotides) under Carnobacterium sp. AZTITEMP77. RNAcentral describes it as "bacterial SSU rRNA". It matches the Rfam family "Bacterial small subunit ribosomal RNA", at positions 930 to 1335 of the family's 1533-position model. The record is from RNAcentral. Lineage: Bacteria; Bacillati; Bacillota; Bacilli; Lactobacillales; Carnobacteriaceae.
UGGUGGAGCAUGUGGUUUAAUUCGAAGCAACGCGAAGAACCUUACCAGGUCUUGACAUCCUUUGACCACUCUAGAGAUAGAGCUUUCCCUUCGGGGACAAAGUGACAGGUGGUGCAUGGUUGUCGUCAGCUCGUGUCGUGAGAUGUUGGGUUAAGUCCCGCAACGAGCGCAACCCUUAUUACUAGUUGCCAGCAUUUAGUUGGGCACUCUAGUGAGACUGCCGGUGACAAACCGGAGGAAGGUGGGGAUGACGUCAAAUCAUCAUGCCCCUUAUGACCUGGGCUACACACGUGCUACAAUGGAUGGUACAACGAGUCGCAAGGUCGCGAGGCCAAGCUAAUCUCUUAAAGCCAUUCUCAGUUCGGAUUGUAGGCUGCAACUCGCCUACANNAAGCCGGAAUCGC